This 468-nucleotide ribosomal RNA is filed under the name uncultured bacterium. RNAcentral describes it as "partial 16S ribosomal RNA". It matches the Rfam family "Bacterial small subunit ribosomal RNA", at positions 28 to 507 of the family's 1533-position model. The record is from RNAcentral.
GACGAACGCUGGCGGCGUGCUUAACACAUGCAAGUCGAACGGAAAGGCCCUGCUUUUGUGGGGUGCUCGAGUGGCGAACGGGUGAGUAACACGUGAGUAACCUGCCCUUGACUUUGGGAUAACUUCAGGAAACUGGGGCUAAUACCGGAUAGGAGCUCCUGCUGCAUGGUGGGGGUUGGAAAGUUUCGGCGGUUGGGGAUGGACUCGCGGCUUAUCAGCUUGUUGGUGGGGUAGUGGCUUACCAAGGCUUUGACGGGUAGCCGGCCUGAGAGGGUGACCGGCCACAUUGGGACUGAGAUACGGCCCAGACUCCUACGGGAGGCAGCAGUGGGGAAUAUGGCACAAUGGGCGGAAGCCUGAUGCAGCAACGCCGCGUGCGGGAUGACGGCCUUCGGGUGGUAAACCGCUUUCGCCUGUGACGAAGCGUGAGUGACGGUAAUGGGUAAAGAAGCACCGGCUAACUACGUG